RNAcentral lists this ribosomal RNA (456 nucleotides) under Oenococcus oeni. Its description in RNAcentral is "bacterial LSU rRNA". It matches the Rfam family "Bacterial large subunit ribosomal RNA", at positions 1 to 459 of the family's 2925-position model. Lineage: Bacteria; Bacillati; Bacillota; Bacilli; Lactobacillales; Lactobacillaceae. The record is from RNAcentral.
AUAGGUUAAGUUAAUAAGGGCGCAUGGUGGAUGCCUUGGCACUAGAAGGCGAUGAAGGACGUGACUAACUACGAUAUGCCUCGGUUAGCUGUAAGUAAGCUUACCCGGGGGUUUCCGAAUGGGGCAACCCGAUCUUAAUGAUCAUCAUCUUUUUGAAUUCAUAGAUUAGAUGAAGCAAACGCUGUGAACUGAAACAUCUAAGUAGCAGUAGGAAAGUAAAGAAAUUUCGAUUCCGUCAGUAGCGGCGAGCGAACGCGGAAGAGCCCAAACCUGGGUGCUUGCAUCCAGGGGUUGUAGGACUGAUGUUGAGUUACAAAGGUAUAAGAUAGCAGAAACAGUUGGGAAGCUGUUCCAAAGAGGGUGACAGGCCCGUAUGCGAAAUCUUGUACUCUCUAAUCAGGAUCCUGAGUACGGCCCAGCACGUGAAAUUGGGUCGGAAUCUGGGAGGACCAUCUC